RNAcentral lists this long non-coding RNA (2634 nucleotides) under Gossypium barbadense (sea-island cotton). RNAcentral describes it as "long non-coding RNA (GBAR_LNC001139)". The record is from RNAcentral. Lineage: Eukaryota; Viridiplantae; Streptophyta; Magnoliopsida; Malvales; Malvaceae.
GCUGAUCCCUUUCGCUGUAUGGCGUGCUCGUUUGGGUUGGGCGUCGGCUAAGAGUGUUCGGAGCGUGGAUUAACUCCAGUCUCCUACCAGGUGUGUAUUUCUCACUACUCUAGCUGUAAGAUGGCUACUUCGGGCCGCGAUGGGCCGAAAAGGGCUAUGUGGGCCCAAUGGGCCUACAGGCCCAAUUGGAUAAGUUGUUUGAUUGUGUAGUUAAUAUUGGGCUAGGUUAGGUGAAACUCAUAUUUGUGGCUAGAUUUGGGCUAAAAGGGCCACAUGAGCGUGUGGGCCCAUUUGGGCCGAGAAUAGGCUUUAGGCCCAUUCGUAUUGUUAUCCCUGUUUAGAAUACUUUAGUUUACCAAAUUACUAAAAUACCCUCGACUUGUAAAAUUACCAAAGUACCCUCAAUUUAUAGAAUUACUAUUUUACCCUCGAUUUAUAGGAUUACCAUUUUACCCUCGAUUUAUAGAAUUACCAUUUUACCCUCAAUUUAUAGAAUUACCGUUUUACCCUCGAUUUAUAGAAUUACCGUUUUACCCUCGAUUUAUAGAAUUACCAUUUUACCCUCGAUUUAUAGAAUUAUCGUUUUACUCUCGAUUUAUAGAAUUACCAUUUUACCCUCGAUUUAUAGAAUUACCAUUUUACCCUCAAUUUACAAAAUUAUUAUUUUACCCUCAGUUUACAAAAUUACCUUUUUACCCUCGAUUGUGAAAUUACUAAAAUACCCCUAAAGGAUAAAAUUACCAAAAUACCCCUAGUUUGUAAAAUUACCAAAAUACCACUGGUUUGUGAAAUUAUCGAAAUACCCUCAACACCACUGGUUUGUGAAAUUACCGAAAUACCCUCAAUGUGUAAAAUUACCAAAAUACCCCUGAUUUACAAAAUUACAAAAAUACCCUUGACUUUCUAAAAAUUAUAGAAAUACCAUUGGUUUACAAAAUUACUGAAAUACCCUUGGUUUGUAGAUUUACCAAAACACCCUUGUAGGAUGAAAUGACUAAAAUACCCCUAAUAGGUAAAAAGACCGUAAAGCCCCUGUAAGGUAAAGUGACUGUAAACCCCUGUAGGGUAAAGUGACCGUAAAGCCCUUGUAUGGUAAAAUGACGAAUACGCCCUUAUGUUCCGUAUGACUGAUGUUUUUAGGAUUUACGUAUAUUGAUAUUGGAAUAGUUAAGUUUGAGUGACAGGUGGUGGUUAUCGUAGGUGAUUGAUUAUGGAAACGUUUCAACUUCAACCCGUAACAGGUGUGGACUAACCCUCGUAAUAGCUUAGAUUAAUAUUUGCUGAGAAGUCAAAAUGCUAAAAUACCGGUAUUUCGGGAACUUGUAAUGUUGCGUUUGGGUAUAGAUGCGAUAAAUACGAUAAGAUCGGUGUUUGGAUCGAUGGAACAGGUAAGAACUUAAUUUUGUGCACGAUGGUAAGUUGGGCCUCAAUGGGCUGGAAUUGGGCCCAAUGGGCUUUUGGGCCCAUUUGGGUAAAAUUGAUAAAAAAUGGAAUUUGGAAAAAGUUACAUGUUUACACGGUUAGUAUUGUUGUAAAUUUUGGGGUAAGUAGGCUAAAUCGGCAUUCGUAAGGCCCAUUAGGGGUUUUGGGCCCAAAAGCCCGAAUUUGAUAAAGUGGGUUAAAGAUCAUUGUUUAAACACUCGAAAAUAUUGAUAAUUGUAAUGAACAUGGAAAGCCCUGAUAUUUGGUAAAAUUAUGAAAAUACCCUUAUAAUAUGAAAAAUGACUGUUUUGCCCUUGUGGGCAAGUGACUGACUUGGACUGUGUGGUUGACGGAUUUGAUUGUGAAUAUAUGUUGGUGAUAUGAAUAACUUGACUGUGAUUGUUUGAUUCAAAUAUGGGCAUGACAUCCUACAUACAUGACAUAUUGCAUGGGAUAUGGGUUAUAUUGAUGGAGGAAGUGCUAAAAGGGCUCUGCCCCAAUUUACCGAAAAGGGCUUCGCCCCAGUUUAUCAGAAAGGGCUUUGCCCCAGUUAUUAAAAGAGGCUAGGCCUCCAGUUAUAUGACAAAGCAGCUAUGAUGCCAGUGGAGAGUUUGGUUGGGUGGGUUGAGUUAUUCCCCACAUGGAGAGUUUGGUUGGUACGGGUGGAAAGUAGCGGAUGGUGGGUCGAGUAGUCUCCCCAAAUGGGCUUGCAUACAUUGAUUGGUAUUUCAUGUGAUAUUGAAAUGGGCUUGCAUACAUCCAUUGACAUUGCAUGUGAUAUUGAAAUGGGCCUAUGGGCCAUACCGUUUACAGUAAAGGCUUCGGCCCAGUAACCAUUAAACGAAAGGCUUCAGCCCAGUAUAUGUCGAGACUAAAUAGGGCUUUGGCCCAAAUUGUACUGAUACUGUGUUUUCACUGUUUGUUUGUUAUUAGGAUUACACAAUGAGUUUUCGUAAACUCACCCCAUUUCUAACUGUGCAGGUAAUCCCUAAGCUUAGAUGGUUUGGAGCUGCGAGGGACUCGGAGAUGGCCACACUACUGUUUAUGUUUCUUUUAAUUGCAAUAAGUAGCCGAUUUAUUUCUUUAUAAGUUUUAUCUUAUCAUUAUUAUUAUUUGGUUUUGGGUUGUAAUAAGGCCAUUUUAAUUAUUUUUCUAGGAUUAUUUUAUUUUAUACCCUAUAUUUUUCUGAUAACAAUAUGAGUUAGACUUAGG